CAAUAGCGUAUAUUUAAGUUGCUGCAGUUAAAAAGCUCGUAGUUGGAUUUCGGGUGGGAAUGGCCGGUCCGCCGUUUCGGUGUGCACUUGCUACGCCCACCUUGCUGCCGGGGACGUGCUCUUGAGUUCACGCUCGGGACACGGAGUCGGCGAGGUUACUUUGAGUAAAUUAGAGUGUUCAAAGCAGGCCUACGCUCUGAAUACAUUAGCAUGGAAUAACACGAUAGGACUCUGGCCUAUCUUGUUGGUCUGUAGGACCGGAGUAAUGAUUAAGAGGGACAGUCGGGGGCAUUCGUAUUUCAUUGUCAGAGGGGAAAUUCUUGGAUUUAUGAAAGACGAACUACUGCGAAAGCAUUUGCCAAGGAUGUUUUCAUUAA
RNAcentral lists this ribosomal RNA (377 nucleotides) under uncultured eukaryote. RNAcentral describes it as "partial 18S ribosomal RNA". It matches the Rfam family "Eukaryotic small subunit ribosomal RNA", at positions 592 to 976 of the family's 1831-position model. The record is from RNAcentral.